CAUGUACCCACCUGCAAGUUCAUCUAUUCAUGGAGCUCUGUAACAAUCAAUAAGAGAGUAAAGAUGACGCAUCUCAUUAUCAUUUUCCAAACAGAAGAUUUCAUUCUACUUGGACAGGCUUUUGAGCUCUGUUUAUAUUCUAGGGAACAAAGAACUUUAUGAUGUCAUGCCAUACUCCAAGAUCCUUCGUUACCUUGCCACUCCUAACCUUUGAAUUCAGAAAGAGAAUUUUUUCCAGUAUUCUGUGAGAUUGCUGCUUUCACAAAGGGAUGGGAAGACUUGACAUUAAUUUAGAGUGUUCUAACAGCUUUUCUCUGUUACCUCGCGACCCAGAACAUUGCCUGCUUAGUAUUAUUUUGACAAAUUUAGCCUUUAUAAAGUUGGCUAAUCUUGAUUGAUGACUCUAUGACAACAGCAAAUAGACGAUGGUGCUUCUAGGGGCAAGAUGGAUGGAAAGCCAACUAGAUGGAUAAACAUGCAACUAGGAUAUUGUGGCCCUUGUUUAAUAAUAGCAAUAAAAGGAGCUGAUGAGAACAGAAAUGCCA
Molecule: long non-coding RNA, 545 nt
Filed under: Equus caballus (horse)
Lineage: Eukaryota; Metazoa; Chordata; Mammalia; Perissodactyla; Equidae
Description: lncRNA (ENSECAG00000044169.1)
Source: RNAcentral